GGCCGGGUAGCCAAGUAGCUAAGGCAUUGGUCUGCAAAACCAAUAUACAUGGGUGCAAUUCCCAUCCCGGCCUCAA
This 76-nucleotide transfer RNA is filed under the name Candidatus Nealsonbacteria bacterium RIFCSPHIGHO2_01_FULL_38_55. RNAcentral describes it as "tRNA-Cys". It matches the Rfam family "tRNA". From Rfam's summary of the family: Transfer RNA (tRNA) molecules are approximately 80 nucleotides in length. Their secondary structure includes four short double-helical elements and three loops (D, anti-codon, and T loops). Lineage: Bacteria; Candidatus Nealsoniibacteriota. The record is from RNAcentral. RNAcentral also lists the same sequence under 4 other names.